RNAcentral lists this transfer RNA (77 nucleotides) under Actinomycetota bacterium. RNAcentral describes it as "Actinobacteria bacterium tRNA-Pro". It matches the Rfam family "tRNA". Rfam says of the family: Transfer RNA (tRNA) molecules are approximately 80 nucleotides in length. Lineage: Bacteria; Bacillati; Actinomycetota. RNAcentral also lists the same sequence under 2 other names. The record is from RNAcentral.
CGGGAUGUAGCGCAGCUUGGUAGCGCACCAGGCUGGGGGUCUGGGUGUCGCAGGUUCAAAUCCUGUCAUCCCGACCA